This is a long non-coding RNA of Fukomys damarensis (Damara mole-rat), 413 nucleotides long. RefSeq lists it as uncharacterized. Lineage: Eukaryota; Metazoa; Chordata; Mammalia; Rodentia; Bathyergidae. The transcript is spliced from 4 exons. The record is from RefSeq and is a predicted model, not a curated record.
UUGAGAUCAAUGAGGUUAAAUGUCUUUCCUUGUGCAAGGAUAGAACGAGGGGCAGCUCCCAGUUCUCCUAACUUCUAAGGAGGUGAUCUUUCCCCCAAACUCUCCCUUCUCUUUUUGCCUUUUCAAGUCUGCAACACACAGAAUGAGAAAGGAGUCCUGAACUGUCAGAGGAGCUUGGAGAUCUGAAUUAGAACACAACUGAACUACUAAUGAGUAUGAUGAUGAGAAGAUCUACCUUUUGUCUGUUCACUGUAGUACAAUGCGAUUACGAAUAAUACUCCAGCUCCCAUUAUGAUUUCUUUACUGCUUAGCCUGAAGUUACUGGGCAUUUGGUUUGACCUUCCUCCUCAAGCGACACAGAUUCUCAAGCAUUCUCUUCAGAGCCCCGGCCAUCUCUCAUCCUAAUGUCCAGG